This 305-nucleotide ribosomal RNA is filed under the name uncultured bacterium. RNAcentral describes it as "bacterial SSU rRNA". It matches the Rfam family "Bacterial small subunit ribosomal RNA", at positions 337 to 634 of the family's 1533-position model. The record is from RNAcentral.
ACCUACGGGGCGCAGCAGUAGGGAAUCUUCCACAAUGGGCGAAAGCCUGAUGGAGCAACGCCGCGUGGGUGAAGAAGGUCUUCGGAUCGUAAAACCCUGUUGAUAGAGAAGAAAGUGCGUGAGAGUAACUGUUCACGUUUCGACGGUAUCUAACCAGAAAGCCACGGCUAACUACGUGCCAGCAGCCGCGGUAAUACGUAGGUGGCAAGCGUUAUCCGGAUUUAUUGGGCGUAAAGGGAACGCAGGCGGUCUUUUAAGUCUGAUGUGAGAGCCUUCGGCUUAACCGGAGUAGUGCAUUGGAAACU